RNAcentral lists this ribosomal RNA (253 nucleotides) under uncultured bacterium. Its description in RNAcentral is "partial 16S ribosomal RNA". It matches the Rfam family "Bacterial small subunit ribosomal RNA", at positions 524 to 776 of the family's 1533-position model. The record is from RNAcentral.
UACGUAGGGGGCGAGCGUUGUCCGGAUUUAUUGGGCGUAAAGAGCGUGUAGGCGGCCAGGUAGGUCUGCUGUGAAAACUCGAGGCUCAACCUCGAGACGUCGGCGGAAACCAUCUGGCUAGAGUCCGGAAGAGGAGAGUGGAAUUCCUGGUGUAGCGGUGAAAUGCGUAGAGAUCAGGAAGAACACCGGUGGCGAAGGCGCUCUGCUAGGCCGCAACUGACACUGAGGGACGAAAGCUAGGGGAGCGAAUGGG